UGUAGCUUGACUGACAUGCCAGGAUGUUCAAUGACUGAUACUCCGAGCUGUGUAGCUUAAUAAUCAAACAGAGGAUGUCUACAUUAAGGCAUAGAAUACAAGGGUUGUGGAGAACUGGAGCCUAUCCUGCCAACAUUGGGUGACAAGACAAGAGCCAAACUGCAUUAACCGUUUGAAGCCUUCCAAAAUAAGAAAACCUUUGGC
Polypterus senegalus (gray bichir) is the source of this 204-nucleotide long non-coding RNA. RefSeq lists it as uncharacterized. The transcript is spliced from 3 exons. Lineage: Eukaryota; Metazoa; Chordata; Cladistia; Polypteriformes; Polypteridae. The record is from RefSeq and is a predicted model, not a curated record.